AGAGUUUGAUCAUGGCUCAGAUUGAACGCUGGCGGUAUGCUUAACACAUGCAAGUCGAACGGAAACGAUGGAAGCUUGCUUCCAGGCGUCGAGUGGCGGACGGGUGAGUAACGCGUAGGAAUCUGCCUGAUAGUGGGGGAUAGCCCGGAGAAAUUCGGAUUAAUACCGCAUAAUCUCUACGGAGUAAAGGAGGCCUCUAUUUAUAUGCUUUCGCUAUCAGAUGAGCCUGCGUAAGAUUAGCUAGUUGGUGAGGUAAAGGCUCACCAAGGCGACGAUCUUUAGCUGGUCUGAGAGGAUGAUCAGCCACACUGGGACUGAGACACGGCCCAGACUCCUACGGGAGGCAGCAGUGGGGAAUAUUGGACAAUGGGCGCAAGCCUGAUCCAGCAAUACCGCGUGUGUGAAGAAGGCCUGAGGGUUGUAAAGCACUUUCA
Molecule: ribosomal RNA, 434 nt
Filed under: uncultured marine bacterium
Lineage: Bacteria
Description: bacterial SSU rRNA
Rfam family: Bacterial small subunit ribosomal RNA
Source: RNAcentral